RNAcentral lists this ribosomal RNA (323 nucleotides) under Metagonia furcata. RNAcentral's name for it is "partial 12S ribosomal RNA". The record is from RNAcentral. Lineage: Eukaryota; Metazoa; Arthropoda; Arachnida; Araneae; Pholcidae.
UUUUACAUAAAUGGUAGUAGAACAGAUCAAAACCUAAAUACAAUGGCGGUUUUAUUAAUUUAGAGAAACUCGCUUUAUAAUCGACAAUCCCCGUUAAAUUUCACUUUUUAUAUCAUCUUAUAUACCGCCGUUUAAAGAAUCUAUUUACUAAUUAUACUCAAUAACUAUACCCAUUUAAAAUCAGGUCAAGGUGUAGUAACUAAAAAGACUAAAGUAAGUUACAUUAAAAACAAUUUAAGGAAAUAACAUAAUAAUAACAUAGAAAAAGAAUUUAUAAGUACCCUUAAAUUAAAAUUUUAAGCAGAAUAAUAUACAUAAAACGC